Molecule: long non-coding RNA, 503 nt
Organism: Eublepharis macularius
Lineage: Eukaryota; Metazoa; Chordata; Lepidosauria; Squamata; Eublepharidae
Exons: 3
Source: RefSeq, a predicted model, not a curated record
AGGACCGCAGCCUUCUUCUGCAAGCCUUCUUGCCGGUUGAGAACGAGAGAAAAUCAACUCAAAAGAAAGGAAAGGCGCCUCCCCGCAUAGGGUAUGGUGUUGAACAAGAGAUUCCGAGGCAAAAGGAUUCUCUGAAUCUCUUGAAUUGCAACAGGCGAUCCAUCCCACCCACUCACCUGGCAGGAUUGUAAAAAGGACCAAGGACAACACUGAGAGGUGUAAGCUGCCUGCUUAAAGUUCGCGUGAUAGACUUACUUAGACUUGCUGCGGUUGCUGCACUUUAUUACCGAUACAGGACAACAAAAAUGAGCAAUGCUUAUCUUCAGCCCAGUUUCGUCAUGUCUUUUAUCUCCAGGCAACACUUUGGCAAAGAUGUAACAAGUGGACUCUGUUAUCAGUCUCGCAGUGGCAGCUACUGACACACACCAAUGGAACUGAAAGAACUUUGGAUGAAAUUGCCAGCUGGAACCAAGAAUGAGGAUAUCCCAUCCUUCCUCUCCUGC